GAUGAACGCUGGCGGCGUGCCUAAUACAUGCAAGUCGAGCGAACAGACGAGGAGCUUGCUCCUCUGACGUUAGCGGCGGACGGGUGAGUAACACGUAGGUAACCUACCUAUAAGACUGGGAUAACUUCGGGAAACCGGAGCUAAUACCGGAUAAUAUUUUGAACCGCAUGGUUCAAUAGUGAAAGAUGGCUUUGCUGUCACUUAUAGAUGGACCCGCGCCGUAUUAGCUAGUUGGUAAGGUAACGGCUUACCAAGGCAACGAUACGUAGCCGACCUGAGAGGGUGAUCGGCCACACUGGAACUGAGACACGGUCCAGACUCCUACGGGAGGCAGCAGUAGGGAAUCUUCCGCAAUGGGCGAAAGCCUGACGGAGCAACGCCGCGUGAGUGAUGAAGGUCUUCGGAUCGUAAAACUCUGUUAUUAGGGAAGAACAAACGUGUAAGUAACUGUGCACGUCUUGACGGUACCUAAUCAGAAAGCCACGGCUAACUACGUG
RNAcentral lists this ribosomal RNA (497 nucleotides) under uncultured bacterium. RNAcentral's name for it is "partial 16S ribosomal RNA". It matches the Rfam family "Bacterial small subunit ribosomal RNA", at positions 28 to 507 of the family's 1533-position model. The record is from RNAcentral.